GGGUAGGGGAGCGUUCUGUAAGCCUGCGAAGGUGUGCUGUGAGGCAUGCUGGAGGUAUCAGAAGUGCGAAUGCUGACAUAAGUAACGAUAAAGCGGGUGAAAAGCCCGCUCGCCGGAAGACCAAGGGUUCCUGUCCAACGUUAAUCGGGGCAGGGUGAGUCGACCCCUAAGGCGAGGCCGAAAGGCGUAGUCGAUGGGAAACAGGUUAAUAUUCCUGUACUUGGUGUUACUGCGAAGGGGGGACGGAGAAGGCUAUGUUGGCCGGGCGACGGUUGUCCCGGUUUAAGCGUGUAGGCUGGUUUUCCAGGCAAAUCCGGAAAAUCAAGGCUGAGGCGUGAUGACGAGGCACUACGGUGCUGAAGCAACAAAUGCCCUGCUUCCAGGAAAAGCCUCUAAGCAUCAGGUAACAUCAAAUCGUACCCCAAACCGACACAGGUGGUCAGGUAGAGAAUACCAAGGCGCUUGAGAGAACUCGGGUGAAGGAACUAGGCAAAAUGGUGCCGUAACUUCGGGAGAAGGCACGCUGAUAUGUAGGUGAAGCGACUUGCUCGUGGAGCUGAAAUCAGUCGAAGAUACCAGCUGGCUGCAACUGUUUAUUAAAAACACAGCAC
RNAcentral lists this ribosomal RNA (611 nucleotides) under Escherichia coli. Its description in RNAcentral is "partial 23S ribosomal RNA". It matches the Rfam family "Bacterial large subunit ribosomal RNA", at positions 1226 to 1821 of the family's 2925-position model. The record is from RNAcentral. Lineage: Bacteria; Pseudomonadati; Pseudomonadota; Gammaproteobacteria; Enterobacterales; Enterobacteriaceae.